UACGUAGGGUGCGAGCGUUGUCCGGAAUUAUUGGGCGUAAAGAGCUCGUAGGCGGUCUGUCGCGUCGGUCGUGAAAACUUGGGGCUUAACCCUGAGCUUGCGGUCGAUACGGGCAUGACUGGAGUUCGGCAGGGGAGACUGGAAUUCCUGGUGUAGCGGAGAAAUGCGCAGAUAUCAGGAGGAACACCGGUGGCGAAGGCGGGUCUCUGGGCCGAUACUGACGCUGAGGAGCGAAAGCGUGGGGAGCGAACAGG
RNAcentral lists this ribosomal RNA (254 nucleotides) under uncultured bacterium. RNAcentral's name for it is "partial 16S ribosomal RNA". It matches the Rfam family "Bacterial small subunit ribosomal RNA", at positions 524 to 776 of the family's 1533-position model. The record is from RNAcentral.